GACGAACGCUGGCGGCGCGCCUAACACAUGCAAGUCGAACGAGCGAGAGAGAGCUUGCUUUCUCGAGCGAGUGGCGAACGGGUGAGUAACGCGUGAGGAACCUGCCUCAAAGAGGGGGACAACAGUUGGAAACGACUGCUAAUACCGCAUAAGCCCACGACCCGGCAUCGGGUAGAGGGAAAAGGAGCAAUCCGCUUUGAGAUGGCCUCGCGUCCGAUUAGCUAGUUGGUGAGGUAACGGCCCACCAAGGCGACGAUCGGUAGCCGGACUGAGAGGUUGAACGGCCACAGUGGGACUGAGACACGGCCCAGACUCCUACGGGAGGCAGCAGUGGGGAAUAUUGCACAAUGGGGGAAACCCUGAUGCAGCGACGCCGCGUGGAGGAAGAAGGUCUUCGGAUUGUAAACUCCUGUUGUUGAGGAAGAUAAUGACGGUACUCAACAAGGAAGUGACGGCUAACUACGUG
RNAcentral lists this ribosomal RNA (466 nucleotides) under uncultured bacterium. RNAcentral's name for it is "partial 16S ribosomal RNA". It matches the Rfam family "Bacterial small subunit ribosomal RNA", at positions 28 to 507 of the family's 1533-position model. The record is from RNAcentral.